This 424-nucleotide ribosomal RNA is filed under the name uncultured prokaryote. RNAcentral's name for it is "bacterial SSU rRNA". It matches the Rfam family "Bacterial small subunit ribosomal RNA", at positions 338 to 774 of the family's 1533-position model. The record is from RNAcentral.
CCUAGGGGCGGCAGCAGUGGGGAAUAUUGCACAAUGGGCGCAAGCCUGAUGCAGCAACGCCGCGUGCGGGAUGACGGCCUUCGGGUUGUAAACCGCUUUCAGCAGGGACGAAGUGAAAAUGACGGUACCUGCAGAAGAAGCACCGGCUAACUACGUGCCAGCAGCCGCGGUGAUACGUAGGGUGCGAGCGUUGUCCGGAAUUAUUGGGCGUAAAGAGCUUGUAGGCGGUCCGUCGCGGCGGAAGUGAAAACUCAGGGCUCAACCCUGAGCCUGCUUUCGAUACGGGCAGACUUGAGGGAUGUAGGGGAGAACGGAAUUCCUGGUGGAGCGGUGGAAUGCGCAGAUAUCAGGAGGAACACCAGUGGCGAAGGCGGUUCUCUGGACAUUUCCUGACGCUGAGAAGCGAAAGCGUGGGGAGCAAACA